GCAGGUCAAGGGCGAGGGAGAGGCAGGGGAAUCAUGUGGCCUCAGAUGCCACUGGCCCGUGGUGCUAGGCCCAUCCCUGGGAUGCGAGGUUUCCCCCCAGUGAUGAUGGGUGCUGAUGGCUUUUCUUAUGGACAAGUGGCACCUGAUGGUUUUGGAAUGCCUGAUCUUUUUGGUGUGGCACACCGUGGAUUUACACCAUUUGGUCCAAGGUUUUCUGGUGAUUUUACAGGUCCUGCAUCUGGCAUGAUGUUUCCUGGGAGACCUUCCCAACCUGGGGCAAUGUUUCCAACUGGUGGAUUUGGCAUGAUGAUGCCAGGACGUGCUCCUUUUAUUGGGGCAAUGGGCCCCACUGCCACAAAUCAACUUCGAGGUAGUCGACCUGGAGGUGUUAUGCCAUUUCCACCACUUCCUACACCAUCUAUUCAAAACAGCAAUAGACCUGUUAAGAGAGAUCAGAGGACAGCAGCUAAUGAUCGAAAUGAUAAAUACAGUGCAGGGUCAGACCAAGGCAGGGGUACAGCCGGCGGACUGGAUGAUGAGGGACAAUACCAGCAAGAAGGAAUAAAGGCUGCCCAUGAAGAUCAAUUUGGUGCGGGGACCAGGUUCAGAAAUGACGAGAGUGAAAGUGAGGAUGAGGCACCAAGGCGAUCAAGGCAUGGGGAAGGGAAAAAGAAGCAACGAGGCUCAGAAGGAGAUGCAACUCCACGCUCUGAUCACUAACAGCACUACUGGCUGAGCUUGAGAGGUGGGUUACAGGCACAUUCACCUAUUUCAGUCAUAGGCUUUAAUGUGAAUACAAUUGAACUAUUUACUCCCCAUGCCUGGGUUGUGUUUCUUAUUUAUUAAGCGUGGGGGAUAAGAGAGGUAUUGGCUGUUGGGCUUUUUCAAUUUUUGCUUUCCUUUUUUUGUUUUUUUUGUUCUCCUUCACCG
This 930-nucleotide unclassified non-coding RNA is filed under the name Hevea brasiliensis (rubber tree). Lineage: Eukaryota; Viridiplantae; Streptophyta; Magnoliopsida; Malpighiales; Euphorbiaceae. The record is from RNAcentral.